RNAcentral lists this ribosomal RNA (772 nucleotides) under uncultured fungus. Its description in RNAcentral is "eukaryotic LSU rRNA". The stretch from base 326 to 479 matches the Rfam family "5.8S ribosomal RNA". The record is from RNAcentral. Lineage: Eukaryota; Fungi.
UUGGCAAAAGCAUGAGAGCUUUUACUGNGCAAGAAGCCAAGGGAUGGAGAGUCCAGCCGGGCCUGCGCUUAAGUGCGCGGUCUUGCUAGGCUUGUAAGUUUCUUUCUUGCUAUUCCAAACGGUGAGAGAUUUCUGUGCUUUUGUUAUAGGACAAUUAAAACCGUUUCAAUACAACACACUGUGGAGUUUUCAUAUCGUUGCAACUUUUUCUUUGGGCAUUCGAGCAAUCGGGGCCCAGAGGUAACAAACACAAACAAUUUUAUCUAUUCAUUAAAUUUUUGUCAAAAACAAGAAUUUUCGUAACUGGAAAUUUUAAAAUAUUAAAAACUUUCAACAACGGAUCUCUUGGUUCUCGCAUCGAUGAAGAACGCAGCGAAAUGCGAUACGUAAUGUGAAUUGCAGAAUUCCGUGAAUCAUCGAAUCUUUGAACGCACAUUGCGCCCCUUGGUAUUCCAGGGGGCAUGCCUGUUUGAGCGUCAUUUCCUUCUCAAACAUUCUGUUUGGUAGUGAGUGAUACUCUUUGGAGUUAACUUGAAAUUGCUGGCCUUUUCAUUGGAUGUUUUUUUUCCAAAGAGAGGUUUCUCUGCGUGCUUGAGGUAUAAUGCAAGUACGGUCGUUUUAGGUUUUACCAACUGCGGCUAAUCUUUUUUUAUACUGAGCGUAUUGGAACGUUACCGAUAAGAAGAGAGCGUCUAGGCGAACAAUGUUCUUAAAGUUUGACCUCAAAUCAGGUAGGAGUACCCGCUGAACUUAAGCAUAUCAAUAAGCGGAG